CGCACAUUGCGCCCAUUAGUAUUCUAGUGGGCAUGCCUGUUCGAGCGUCAUUUCAACCCUCAAGCCCCCGUUGCUUGGCGUUGGGAGCCUACAGUCCCUGUAGCUCCUCAAAGUUAGUGGCGGAGUCGGUUCAAGCUCUAGACGUAGUAAAUUUCUUAUCUCGCCUAUAGAUGGAGCCGGCCCCCUGCCGUAAAACACCCCAAUUUUUCAAGGUUGACCUCGGAUCAGGUAGGAAUACCCGCUGAACUUAA
RNAcentral lists this unclassified non-coding RNA (251 nucleotides) under Xylaria sp. RNAcentral's name for it is "partial contains 5.8S ribosomal RNA, internal transcribed spacer 2, and large subunit ribosomal RNA". The record is from RNAcentral. Lineage: Eukaryota; Fungi; Ascomycota; Sordariomycetes; Xylariales; Xylariaceae.